CCUACGGGAGGCAGCAGUGAGGAAUAUUGGUCAAUGGGCGGGAGCCUGAACCAGCCAAGCCGCGUGAGGGAAGAAGGUACAGUGUAUCGUAAACCUCUUUUGUCAGGGAACAAAGGCGGGGACUAGUCCCCGGAUGAGGGUACCUGAAGAAAACGCAUCGGCUAACUCCGUGCCAGCAGCCGCGGUAAUACGGAGGAUGCGAGCGUUAUCCGGAUUUAUGGGGUUAAAGGGGUGCGCGGGCGGCCUGUUAAGUCAGCGGUAAAAGCCCGGGGCUCAACCCCGGCGAGCCGUUGAAACUGGCAGGCUGGAGUUGGAGAGAAGUACGUGGAAUGCGCGGUGUAGCGGUGAAAUGCUUAGAUAUCGCGCAGAACACCGAUUGCGAAGGCAGCGUACCGGCUCCACACUGACGCUGAGGCACGAAAGCGUGGGUAUCGAACAGGAUUAGAUACCCGGGUAGUC
Molecule: ribosomal RNA, 459 nt
Filed under: uncultured bacterium
Lineage: Bacteria
Description: partial 16S ribosomal RNA
Rfam family: Bacterial small subunit ribosomal RNA
Source: RNAcentral